Molecule: ribosomal RNA, 253 nt
Filed under: uncultured bacterium
Lineage: Bacteria
Description: partial 16S ribosomal RNA
Rfam family: Bacterial small subunit ribosomal RNA
Source: RNAcentral
UACGGAGGGUGCGAGCGUUGUCCGGAAUCACUGGGCGUAAAGGGCGCGUAGGUGGCGCGAGGAGUCUGUGGUGAAAGCCCGAGGCUCAACUUCGGGUCGGCCGAGGAUACUCUCGUGCUGGAGGGUGGUAGAGGCCAAUGGAAUUCCGGGUGUAGCGGUGGAAUGCGUAGAGAUCCGGAAGAACACCGGUGGCGAAGGCGGUUGGCUGGGCCACACCUGACACUGAGGCGCGACAGCGUGGGGAGCAAACAGG